RNAcentral lists this unclassified non-coding RNA (736 nucleotides) under Hevea brasiliensis (rubber tree). The record is from RNAcentral. Lineage: Eukaryota; Viridiplantae; Streptophyta; Magnoliopsida; Malpighiales; Euphorbiaceae.
GAAUGUACUUUGCCUUGUUCUUUCCUAGAGCAUCUCUUAACGCGUUGAUUGCAAUAGCUCCAAUGAAGAAUAUGUAGCAUAAUGUGAGACAAUUCUUUGGUAGAGCUGAGAAGCCUUCCACUCCCAAUAUAGACAUGUUACGAUAGACUAGAGCGUAAGGAGCAGGGUACUCUGAACCUGGAAUACCUAAGUCGUGGAACGCCUUGUAGAAUAGCCAAAAUACACAAGGGGAAAUCACACACCCCAUUGCUGUUCCGAUCAUCUGGCUUAUGAACAUCGACCUAGGAGAAGCCAGCGUCAUGUAACCUGUCUUGAAGUCUUGUGUUAAGUCGGAUGCAGUUGUGACUACGUUCAUCAUGACACCACAAGCAGCUAAUCCUGCUAGAACACCACCAUGACUAGCCCCAGCCCAUGCACCGAUGGUGAAGAUAGCCAGCUUCCCGUACGUUGAUGCUAAUGACCAGUCAGUCAGACCAGUUCCAUAAGCAUUGCAGAAGGCUAGUGCUGGUGUAAAAAUGUAUAUCACCACAAUGUAGUACCACUUAAGUUGAUGGAAAAUGUGUGGAAGCGUUAUCAUGGAGAUGAUGGCAAUGCUAACAUAACCGACUAUAGCAACCCACGUAGGGAUUUGAUCCUUGAGGAAAAGCUCGGUUCGUAUCUGAUCAUCAUAAGACAGAGAUGCCUCUGCAGGGGAUGCACGCGGGGCACCAACAGGAAGGACUAAACCUGCUUUUUU